This 253-nucleotide ribosomal RNA is filed under the name uncultured bacterium. RNAcentral describes it as "partial 16S ribosomal RNA". It matches the Rfam family "Bacterial small subunit ribosomal RNA", at positions 524 to 776 of the family's 1533-position model. The record is from RNAcentral.
UACGUAGGGUGCAAGCGUUGUCCGGAAUUAUUGGGCGUAAAGAGCUUGUAGGCGGUUUGUCGCGUCUGCUGUGAAAUUUCGGGGCUCAACCCCGAACUUGCAGUGGGUACGGGCAGACUAGAGUGUGGUAGGGGAGACUGGAAUUCCUGGUGUAGCGGUGAAAUGCGCAGAUAUCAGGAGGAACACCGGUGGCGAAGGCGGAUCUCUGGGCCUUACCUGACGCUGAGGAGCGAAAGCAUGGGGAGCAAACAGG